Non-coding RNA from Pelobates cultripes (western spadefoot toad), 918 nucleotides. The record is from the annotation of a GenBank genome assembly. NCBI's taxonomy places the organism in Eukaryota, Metazoa, Chordata, Amphibia, Anura, Pelobatidae.
GAUGUCAAUGGGUGGGAUCUAGUGGGCAGCAAGUGAACAGUCACUUCUUGAAUUUCAUUAGUUAGAAGUAGGAAAAAUAGGCAAGCGAAAAUAUGUAAAUUAAUUGACAAGAGCCAAAUAGUUGUGGCUAGACUGGGUCCGAGCAUUUCCAAAACUGCAAGACCUGUGGGAUGAUCCUGGUAUACAGUGGUUAGUACAUACAAAAAGUGGUUCAAGGAAGGACAACGGGUGCCCAAUGCUUACUAAUGCAUGUGGGUAGCAAAGGCUAGCCCGUCUGAUCUGAUCACACAGAAAAGCUAGUUUAGCUCAAAUUGCUGGUAUACGGCUGUUUUGUUAAAGACUAGUCACUGGCAAAAGCACCUUCACCAGGGAAGUGUGCAUCAAACUGGAUCAGGGAAGAAGGUUGGUCUGGUGAAUUGUGUUUUCUUUAAGAUCAGCUGGAUGGCAGUGGGUUUACCUGGGGCAGAGAUGGAAGAAGGAUGCAAUAUGAAAAGACAAGCCGAUGGAAGCAGUCUUAUGCUUUGUGCAAUGUUCUGCUGGGAAACCUUGGGCCCCUUAAACACAAAAUCCCCACAAAAGUUACAUCCCCUGAUAGCCCUGAUCUGGGUAACCAGAUAACCAACAUAUCCAAAAAUCACCCAGAUCAGUUCAGGAAUUUGCUGGAAGUCGUAAUUUGACCAACUGCCUGCAUGGUCCCAUGCCCAAAACAGUUCCAGAGAAUCAGGUCUUGCAGUCAGUCUAGAUCGGUAAAAAAAAAACUACCGAACAUAGUCAAUAGUCUUACCCUGGAGCUUGAUCCCCUUGUUUGUGGAAAUGUUUCCACCGAACAGUGUCUUCCCAAGUGUUCUAAAACCGAACACAGAUGAUCAUGGAAGUCCAACAGUGUUCGGGAGUUUCAGUGUCCAAAAACAGUUCCAU